RNAcentral lists this microRNA (21 nucleotides) under Pteropus alecto (black flying fox). Its description in RNAcentral is "pal-miR-8908a-2-3p". The record is from miRBase by way of RNAcentral. Lineage: Eukaryota; Metazoa; Chordata; Mammalia; Chiroptera; Pteropodidae.
GACCUAAGCCCUUCUGAGUAU